AAGAGGGGAAGAGAAACAAUAACUAGAAUUGCAAAUAAACAGGUAAGGAGCAGCAACAUCGACGUGAAUAAGGUCGAAUUAUGCUUCUCGCUUGGGGUUGAUUCUUGACUGCAACAAGGUAACACCAAAUUGUAGUAGUUCAGGUUUAUGGAUUUUGUUUUCAUCAUUAUAGUUAUUGGUAGCAAUUAGACCUAAGAAGCAGGGCAAGCCCUAAGGAAGAAAGGAAAUGGGUUAAUUUGAUCAUGUGAACAAGAAUUUCAUCACAAAAUAAUUGGAAUUGUACGUGAUGGGCUGUGCAUAAUGAUGCCCAUAUAUAGCUAAAUACAGGUACUAAGGCAAGAGAUGGGUUAGUUCAACAAAGGUGAGUAGGGUUAUUAUGAAUAUAAGUCCACCAUUAAACAUUAGUAAAGGAGUGGAGAAACAACAGGAGAAUAUUUGGUUUAAACUUUGGAGACUUGUUAAGACAUUACUGAUGAAUUCUAUAUGAAAGAAAUUUAAUGGCUUAUUUUCAAUAAAGAAAUGAUAUGGGCAAGAUUAUGGUGAAUUAUAAUUUAAUUUUAUGGUGCUAGGUUGUUUUGCUUCAUUUUCAAAGUUAAACCAAUGCUUCAAAUUGUGAAGUAUUAUAUGGACAGAAAUUUAUAUACAUUGAAUAGAAACAGGAACGAGAAUGAGUUAAAGGAGUUUUGAUUAUGGAUUUGACCAAUUGUUAUUAAUUGGUACCUGCAACAAGAGAGAAAAGAAUGGGACUCUACUUUAAAUUCUUCUUUUACCUUCAAACAAAAAUAAUUAUUUUCAAUUAGAAAGUGACUGCAAUUGGAUAUUUCUUUGGUCCAUUGGCUAGGGGGUUGGAUUAAAUGGUUGCUAAUACGAAGAAAUGUUACAUUUUUUCAGGAAAUAUCGAGGUCAGGACACUUGAUGAUCGAAUUAGUCCUGUAAGUGGAAAAACCCUAAAUAUUUUCAAGUAUUGAUAAAUUAAUUAUACGAAUACAUUAUGUGCAUUUAUAUGUUCGAUUACAUGAUUAUUUUGGAAAUAUUCUUUGAUUCUGAUAUUUGUGGAAUUCAAAGAUUAGAUAUGAAAAUAUUUGUGAUUUGGAAUGUGAGACAUGUGAUAUUAAGAUCGAUCAGAAAAGUACUCGUGAUUAUAUAUUUCUUCUAGUUCACAGAUAAGUAAGUCCCUUAGCUAUGGGAUUAAACUAAUGAUGCAUGUAUACAAGUGAACAUUAAGGAUUUGUGAUUUUCUGAAUUAGGGGAUUUUGAUUUUGGGGGAAUAUGGUUACUUGGAAUUGGAGGUUUUUCUUUGGUAAAAGAAUAGAAUUUUGGGACUUUUUUGGUGGACUAAUAGAAGCUGUCAACAGAAUCAAUUUAUAUAUGGUUGUUUAUUGUUUUUCAUUUUUACUUUGUAAAAUGUAGUAAUAAUAGUAUAAAAAAAAUUGGAAUGUAUUUUAUGAAUUAUUAUUUUAAAAUGUGUAUUAAGUGUAAUUUAGUCUUUUCCUUCUCUCUACAUAAAUACACAAUUUUGAGUUUGUAUUACCAGUAAUCAGAUCUGUUGAUUAACAAUGAUCUGGUUUAUUUUUUCUUUCUGAUUUUUGUUGUUUUGAUUGUAUAGUUUUCAAUAUUUGAAGAAGAGAAAAAGAGAAUAAUAGAUGUUUGGUAUAGCAACAAAGAAGUGUAAUAAUAGCAAGUAUUAUGAGCUAUUGGAGUUUCAAAGAAUGCUUCAGAGGAUGAUCUCAAGAAGGCCUACUGUAAAUCUGCCAUCAAGAAGGAGGCGAGCCUCGAAAUGUAAUUUCUCUAAAUUUUAUUAGUGCAGUGUAUAUUUUAUUUGUGAAUUGGUCUUUUGAGG
This 1840-nucleotide long non-coding RNA is filed under the name Olea europaea (common olive). RNAcentral's name for it is "long non-coding RNA (OEUR_LNC011792)". Lineage: Eukaryota; Viridiplantae; Streptophyta; Magnoliopsida; Lamiales; Oleaceae. The record is from RNAcentral.